Molecule: non-coding RNA, 24 nt
Filed under: Arabidopsis thaliana (thale cress)
Lineage: Eukaryota; Viridiplantae; Streptophyta; Magnoliopsida; Brassicales; Brassicaceae
Source: RNAcentral
GUUGGCAACCUCAAGUGUCUCAAA